This 253-nucleotide ribosomal RNA is filed under the name uncultured bacterium. Its description in RNAcentral is "partial 16S ribosomal RNA". It matches the Rfam family "Bacterial small subunit ribosomal RNA", at positions 524 to 776 of the family's 1533-position model. The record is from RNAcentral.
UACGAAGGGGGCGAGCGUUGUUCGGAUUUACUGGGCGUAAAGGGCGCGCAGGCGGCUCAUUUUGUCAGGCGUGAAAGCCCCGGGCUUAACCUGGGAGGUGCGUUUGAUACGGAUGGGCUAGAGUUCGGGAGAGGAGAGUGGAAUUCCCAGUGUAGAGGUGAAAUUCGUAGAUAUUGGGAAGAACACCAGUGGCGAAGGCGACUUACUGGACACAUAUUGACGCUGAGGUGCGAAAGCGUGGGGAGCAAACAGG